This 1451-nucleotide long non-coding RNA is filed under the name Arabidopsis lyrata. RNAcentral describes it as "long non-coding RNA (ALYR_LNC000966)". The record is from RNAcentral. Lineage: Eukaryota; Viridiplantae; Streptophyta; Magnoliopsida; Brassicales; Brassicaceae.
CCAAUUCAAAUGAUUGAAUAACAAAAAUAAAAAGUUUUUUUAUACUGGCAAUCUAAAAAUAAUCGGGGUAUGUAAGAUUAGGCGGGGAAUAAUCGGAUUAGGCGGGGAAUAAUUGGAUUAGGCGGAGAGUAAUCGGGUGACUGAUUUCUUUAAGGGAUUAGUCAUUAAUCGAGGCGGACAGGGUGGGCCUAGCGAUUAAGCGGGGAGUAAUCGGGUCUAGGCGGGGAUUUUUAGAACAGGGGUUGAGACUCACAAAAUAUCAGACAUUGUCAGAUUUCUGAUUAUAUACUUCGAGAAAAUGGUUCAAGCUAGUUAUUAAUGUUUCUAGAAAGCGAGACUUAUAUUUAUGUCUAUUGAGUCAAUGCAAGGUUUGGUUUAAGACUUUUAGCUAUUCAAAGCAAUAAGCAAGAUAAAAUAUCAAAAGUCCAAAUUUUUUUCUUAGUCAUGCUUCACAUUCCUAAUUUUUUCUAUACUUAAUAAUGCAAGCAAAUAAUGAUUAUAAAUUUUGAUAAAAGGCAGUGUUCUAAAAAGCGGUCUAGGCGCUCGUCUAGGCCCUAACUAGGCGCUAGGCUCUCAUGCGACGCCUAGAUAACCGCUUUGACUGUCUAAAAUUACAUAGAUCUUGUUUAAUGUAUUUUUUCCAGUGUUCAAGAAAGCGCUAGGCGCUAAGCGGGCGGUAACCCAAUGCCUAGCGCCUAGAAGGACUAAUCGGGGCCUAUGCGAUUUUUUAGGCGGUUUAGACGUUUAUAACAUAAAACAUUAUAAAUAUGAUAUUAUAUAUAAAAGUGAUAUAAAAUAUCUAUAUAAAACUAAAAAUUAUGAAAUUAUAAACAAAAACUAGAUGAAACCUUUAAAUGAGAUUUUAAAUAUAAAUAAAGGUUUUAUCUAGUUUUUUUGACAAUAUAUGAAUAUUUAUAACUAUAUAUAUAAAAAUAAAACUCUAAUUGAAAUUGAAAAAAAUACAUUAAACAAGAUCUAUAUAAUUUUAGGCGGUCAAGGCGGUUAUCUAGGCGUCGCAUGAGAGCCUAGAGCCUAGUCGAGGCCUAGGCGACCGCCUAGACCGCUUUUUUAAACACUGAUUUUUUCAAUUUCAAUUAGAGUUUUAUUUAUAUAUAUAGUUAUAAAUAUUCAUAUAUUAUUUAAUAUAAAUAUAAAUAAAUAUUUUAUCUAAUUUUUAUUUAUAAUUUCAUAAUUUUUAGUUUUAUAUAGAUAUUUUAUAUAACUUUUAUAUAUAAUAUCAUAUUGAUAAUGUUUUAUGUUAUAAACGUCUAAACCGCUUAAAAAAUCGUCUAGGCCCCGAUUAAGCGUUCUAAGCGCUAGGCACUGGGUCACCGCCCGCUUAGCGCCUAGCGCUUUCUUGAACACUGAUAAAAGGUAAUGAAAACUCUAAAGAGAACACAAAUGAACACAGAUAUUAAUGACCACAACCCACGAAACUGUACAUCUAAAAC